RNAcentral lists this ribosomal RNA (990 nucleotides) under Merope tuber. Its description in RNAcentral is "SSU rRNA". It matches the Rfam family "Eukaryotic small subunit ribosomal RNA", at positions 395 to 1343 of the family's 1831-position model. The record is from RNAcentral. Lineage: Eukaryota; Metazoa; Arthropoda; Insecta; Mecoptera; Meropeidae.
CCUGAGAAACGGCUACCACAUCCAAGGAAGGCAGCAGGCGCGCAAAUUACCCACUCCCGGCACGGGGAGGUAGUGACGAAAAAUAACGAUACGGGACUCAUCCGAGGCCCCGUAAUCGGAAUGAGUACACUUUAAAUCCUUUAACGAGGAUCAAUUGGAGGGCAAGUCUGGUGCCAGCAGCCGCGGUAAUUCCAGCUCCAAUAGCGUAUAUUAAAGUUGUUGCGGUUAAAAAGCUCGUAGUUGAAUCUGUGUCCCACACUGUCGGUACACCGCUCGGCUUAACUGGCAUGUCUUGUGGGACGUCCUACCGGUGGGUUUAGCCCGUCAAACGGCGGCCCAACUAAAAAUCCUAUCACGGUGCCUCUUUACCGAGUGUCGAGAUGGGCCGGUACGUUUACUUUGAACAAAUUAGAGUGCUUAAAGCAGGCUAAAUUUUGCCUGAAUAUUCUGUGCAUGGAAUAAUGGAAUAGGACCUCGUUUCUAUUUUGUUGGUUUUCGGAAGCUCGAGGUAAUGAUUAAUAGGGACAACUGGGGGCAUUCGUAUUGCGACGUUAGAGGUGAAAUUCUUGGACCGUCGCAAGACGUACAGAAGCGAAAGCAUUUGCCAAAUGUGUUUUCAUCAAUCAAGAACGAAAGUUAGAGGUUCGAAGGCGAUCAGAUACCGCCCUAGUUCUAACCAUAAACGAUGCCAGCUAGCGAUCUGCGCACGUUCCUCCGAUGACUCGGUAGGCAGCUUCCGGGAAACCAAAGCUUUUGGGUUCCGGGGGAAGUAUGGUUGCAAAGCUGAAACUUAAAGGAAUUGACGGAAGGGCACCACCAGGAGUGGAGCCUGCGGCUUAAUUUGACUCAACACGGGAAACCUCACCAGGCCCAGACACUGGAAGGAUUGACAGAUUGAGAGCUCUUUCUUGAUUCAGUGGGUGGUGGUGCAUGGCCGUUCUUAGUUGGUGGAGCGAUUUGUCUGGUUAAUUCCGAUAACGAACGAGACUC